Ribosomal RNA from Chlorocebus sabaeus (green monkey), 116 nucleotides. NCBI's taxonomy places the organism in Eukaryota, Metazoa, Chordata, Mammalia, Primates, Cercopithecidae. The record is from Ensembl.
GCCUAUGGCCAUACCACCCUGAACAGGCCUGAUCCCAUCAGAUCUCAGAAGCUAGGCAGGUUUGGGCCUAUUUAGUACUUGGAUGUGAGAAAAUAGGAUGGUGGUUGCCAGGGGCU